RNAcentral lists this long non-coding RNA (203 nucleotides) under Elaeis guineensis (African oil palm). RNAcentral's name for it is "long non-coding RNA (EGUI_LNC065403)". Lineage: Eukaryota; Viridiplantae; Streptophyta; Magnoliopsida; Arecales; Arecaceae. The record is from RNAcentral.
CUUCAACGAUACCUCUACAACGAGCUCCGGGUUGGAUCUAAUCAAAUCCAGUUCUAUGGGUUUGCUAGAUUGUAUCGGUUCUUCUACCUAUCGAAUCUCAUAAGUUCAACUUUAGAGGCAUCAGUUCCUUCACCAAAGAACUCUUUUUCUAAAAAGAAUGUCGAACAACUCUUAUUCUUCAGCAAGAUAGAAAUAAUAUAUUC